UUUAGAUAUAUUUUUUUUUAUAAGUAGUCACUCAUGAAAAUCUUAAAGGAUGUAAUGUGAUGAAAAUAGAAAGUACACAGAUACAACAUAUAACUCAACAUUAACCCUAAGCAAAACAUGACUAAUAAAAUAAACAACAACGGCUAACUAAACCACACAGCAACACACAUCACAAUACAAUUACCCUCAAUAUCAUCUCAAUACAAACUUACCACCUACAACUACUUAAACAAUAUAUUCCCCUGCUACUACUUCCAAAUUCAUUUUAUAGCAACUUACAUUCAAUUUUAUUUCUCUCCCAAAUCCUCCUACAGUGAUAAAUUUCUCACAUGAUCACCUCUAUAUUAAUCUCCUUGUCUCUAGAUAUCUAGUUAUUUAUACAUAAAUUAUGUUGGAGUAUUGGAUGUUUUUUUAAUAUAAAUCAAAUUAAAUUAAUAAAUUUUAGAAUUAAGUACGAUUUUAAUCCUUAUAAUUUUUUCCGAAAAUAAAAAUUGUUCCUAAUAUUUUUUUGUGUUUAAAAUUGUCCCUAUUGUUGAAUUUAUUUUAAAAUCAUUCUUUGUCAUCACAAAUUUUUUUAAAGACAAAAUUGCCCUUGGAUGUUAAUCCUCACCAACCCUUUCAUUGGUCUUUUUGAACAUUGAAGACAAUAAACUCUCUUUGGAUCUAUCCGAAGAACGAACCAAUAUGAAACGAAGCCAAGUUUGGAUUUUGAAUUCAACCCAUUUAUCCCAUAUGAAGGAUCCACCGAAUCGGAAGGUGAAGAGACACACUAAUGUAUAUGUAUGAAUAUAUCUCGACAACGACCCCUCAAGCGGCCUUUCGCGCACCCUUCCAUCUCUUCGAUCCCAAAGAAGCCACUGACAUUGACAUGGACACCAUAUUCAACAUCGCCAUUCAAGGCUCCUCCAAAAUGUAAACUCACCCGAAAUGCAAUUUGGAAUAAAGUUUAUUUAUUUAUUUUUUUGUUUGCAUUGAAUUUGAAAAUUGGAAGUUUUGGCAUCUGUGGUUGCCACUGUUUCAGGUUUAGAGGUACUUAUAGGCAAUUAUGACAAGUUUGGAAACUAUAGGAACGAUUUUUUGUGUUAGGAAGCUGUUGCUGAAGAACCCCAAAAUCCCAACUUUUGAAGAAUCCACAAUUCAAAAUUGAAAAUUGAGUGGGAAACCUAAAAUGGGGUCAGUUAAGAGGCACAUAAUGUCAAAGUAGUUUGAUAAUAGAGGUUCUUACUUCUUGUAGAAACAUGUGUUUUGCUUUCAGUGGCGGUGAUAGCAUGUUAUUAUUGGUGGUGUUGGUGCUAGUGUCAUGUAAGAAGAGAGAAGUACCGAGGAUGGGGAGGAGGUUAGGUUAGGAAAGAAAGGUAUUUUUGUUUGAAAAUUAAAAAACAAAAAGGAUUAUUCUAAAAUAUAAUUUAACGUUAGAGAC
Molecule: long non-coding RNA, 1420 nt
Filed under: Arachis ipaensis
Lineage: Eukaryota; Viridiplantae; Streptophyta; Magnoliopsida; Fabales; Fabaceae
Description: long non-coding RNA (AIPA_LNC000670)
Source: RNAcentral